Molecule: long non-coding RNA, 2824 nt
Organism: Triticum aestivum (bread wheat)
Lineage: Eukaryota; Viridiplantae; Streptophyta; Magnoliopsida; Poales; Poaceae
Exons: 7
Source: RefSeq, a predicted model, not a curated record
GGCGCCGGCCGCCUGCCUCCACCACGCGCCGCCCUCCUCCUUCCCAUGCGCCGGCCACCUACAUCCAUUGCGCAGAUCCCGCCGCAGCCCCAAAACCUAAACGGCGCCGCUGUUGUCGUCCCGCACUGGAUCGACCCGCCGCUAUCGCUCUGCUGCCGUGUACACGCGGUUCAACGCCUCAGCCCCAGGCCGUUCAAUGCCUAGCCGGCCUGCGGCUCCUCCAUGGACACCUAGCUCCUCUACAAGAGCCGCCGCGGCCCACGGCAGCCCAUGGUGGCGGAGUUCGUUGCGUCCAUCAGUCCAACCCCAUGGCUUCAGGGUGCCCGAGUUUUGUCGCGGCCGUCAGUUCGGACACCUCCGUCACUGUGUGCGUUGCUACCACGGCCAUUUGCGUCACUGCGUGCUCCGUCACCGGCCUCAUGCGCACCGUGACCCCUGGCGCACUCCUUCCUCUCCCUGACGAUGUUCGUGCCCUCCCACGCUUGAUCUCCUGCUGCAGCGAUGAGCUCUUCUACAUUGCUGAAGUUCCGUACCUGACGGCACCAGCACGAGGAUGCAGCAGCCAGGCUGGACCCCAGUUCGUGCCUCCCUCUCUCUCCCUUAGCUACAUCAUCACUGUUGAAGUGCUGCUGAUUGAUUUCUUGUAGUGAACUUGGUGCUCCGUAGGUGCCUGCUGGUAUAUGCAAGUGAGGGCCAGCAUUUUUUUCUUCAGAUUCUUGUGUUUGUACAAGGGCUAAAAGUAUUUAGUUGUACAAAUUGAAAUUCCACAUAAUCCUCUGACUGCAAGUUUUACUUGUGACUUUGAUGCUUCGUAGGUGCUUAAAAGUAUUUAGGUGGGUGGUCCGACACCGCUGCUUCCAGCAGUCCAAGAUCGCCACCGGAGGCCUUCACUGUCGCAAUGCCUACUUUCGCCCGCGCCUCCUUCCCGGUCAUCGUGAGUGCUGCUUUGAUUCAGACCUGAUGGAAGAAGGCAGAACCUCUCUCUCGUGAAGAAUACAUAGCAGGAUCUGCCCCAGCAAACCACAUGUCGCCGGGGGCGCUCUGCCUCUCCUAUGCACCCCCUGCUUCCAUCUCCCUCCACCGCCGCCCUCCCUUACCCCUCCGCAGUUCUUGGCACCGCGGCUGUUGCCCCGCACUGGAUCGACGCGCCGCUAUUGCUCUGUCGCUGCGUACAGAGAGUUCAACGCCGCAACCCCCGUCCGUUCAAUGUCGCCGCCAUGGCCGUGCCCCACUCCAACUCCCUCGCCUGUGCUUCCAUGGCGAAACAGUGCAACCUGCAGGAGGAACCGUGGGGGGUCGAGGACGUCCAGCUCGGCAGUCCAACUCAGCAUGAUUCACGUCAUCGUUGGCCCCAUGUUCGCUGGCAAGACCACCGCGCUUCUCCGACGGCACCGGCAGCUGUAAGAUAGAAAAUUUUCUCUCUUGUCUAUCUUGGUUCUCAGGAAAAUUGGGUUGGGAGUCGACAAGCCGGGCAAAAUGUGUUGCUACUUCUACAAUAUCAAAGAUGAUGAGAUUCUGGUCUUGCUCGUCGAGGACCCAAUCACAGGGCAGUCUGUCGCUGCUGCAAUGCAUUAGGAAAAGUUCAAGUUUCCUAUUAGAUUUAGUUCUAUUGGAAAAGGGCCGCCCUCACCGCGCUUAUCCCCGUCGCCGGAGGGUCGGCGUGCAGGGGUUGGGCCAUAGCCGACAGUUCCGGUCGUCCCCUGCCACUGCUCAAUCUUCUCGCCUAACCCCCUUCCUCCCCGAUCUGCUACUGAUGUACCCCAACUACCACUGGAGCUUCGGGGAGCACUCCUCCGUCCAAGUUGAGCAUUGGGCGCCGUCCGAGUAGAGCACUGCACCCCGUCCAAGUUCCCAUCUAAUGUUGAACGUUAAAUUUUGUCAUGUUGAAAUAAUAUAGCACUGAGCACCCUACAAUUUUUUUUGCUUGAGCGCUGAGCAAACAGUGGGGCCUGGAGGAGUCACAGGGUCGAGGACCUCCUGCUCAACAGUACAACUUCUUGUUUUGUGGCCAGUCGCUCAAGGAGCUGAGUGCAGGCCGCAGUAAGUACAUGAUUACUAAUAUUAGGAUAUGUAUGUGGUCCCAGAAAAAACAUUUGUCGGGUUUUUGGUGGCCAAAUAUUGUUGAUAUGGAGAUGAAUAACUAUGCGGAUGCGCUCCUGUUGUUUUUCUGGAAAAAAAGAUGCCAUGUUUACACAUCCAUAUUUAAUUUUGGAAGGUUCACACAUCCAUAUUAGAGAGAUUCAUCGGACAUAAUUUUGUAAGGUCAGAAAAAGCAAUUGCUCAGUACAUCACAGCAACUCUUCGAUGCAAAAAGGGUGGCUCUUCUCAAGUCAGCAGCUAACCAAACUGGCAACUUCAGGGUAGCUCAGUCAAAUAUGGCAGCUGUGUAGUAAACAAUUUCAGUUGAGAAAUCAGCAAGCGCCAUGCUCAGUCCAACCCCGUGGCUUCAGGGUGGCCGAGUUCGUAGUGACCAUCAGUUUGGAGACCUGCGUCACUGCGCGUGUCGCUACCAUGGCCCCCUGUGUCACUGCAUGCUCCGUCAACAGCCUCCUACACAAGGAAAAGCAACAGGAGUAGAGGCGUCUGAGAUGCUCUGUUCUACAGAGGUGGCUGAUUACGUUUGUCAGUUUGUAAUACUUUGGCCGCAGUGUACUUAUGUAUCUUUUUCUGGCCGGAGCACGACCAGAGCUUAUGUCAGUACGAACUUUGAUUGUAAUGGUACUACAAACUCUAUGAAAACACCAGCAAUCCAUUUUUACUGGUACUUACCUUUUAUACAGUCCACAUGGAUUGUGCCCCUAUUACCAAUUGUGGUACAAAAAUG